AGCCCAUUGAAGCUGGGGGGUAUUUUGGCUUUGGAGGAGGCCAAACGCAGCCUUUGUUGUUCUGAAUAAAUGAGUUUAUGAUUCAGUUUAGCCUCAGUCCCGGUGGAAGGAGCCCCUGUGAGAAGUUCCAUCAGAGUGACUGAAUUACAAGCUGAUGGGACUUUGCUGUAAUUUAUUUAAAGUUAUUUACAUGCACAGGAGUACAUUUGUGGAGCCAGGUUCUGUGCUGAUGAAAUUGGAAAGGACACUUACUAACCUAGUGCUGAGGUGACCCAAUUUACGGCUUGUUCUCUGCGCUUUCACACCCCCAGCGUUUGCGAAAGACGGAGCGAAGCCAUGGUAUUUCAUUUACUCUAUGUUAACUCCGCUCCCCUGGGUUGUGAGAGAGUGAAAAUUACUUUGUAAGGGAAGACUUGGCCAACGCAGGAGAAAAUAUCGCCAAAUGCUGAAUCUGAGAAGCAAAGUGGAGACAAGAUAACCUUUGCUUUGUUCAUUGAACAGCGUUCUUACUGGUGGAAGGCUGCAGCGUGUAGCUACUGAAGCCUGAUAUAAAUGCACUCUGUGCUGCCAGCACCAGGAACGCUUUGGCGUGAUGAUGCCAGCCUGCCUGCUCUGCGUGCUACAGGUG
This is a long non-coding RNA of Anas platyrhynchos (mallard), 628 nucleotides long. RefSeq lists it as uncharacterized. The record is from RefSeq and is a predicted model, not a curated record. Lineage: Eukaryota; Metazoa; Chordata; Aves; Anseriformes; Anatidae.